RNAcentral lists this transfer RNA (73 nucleotides) under Herelleviridae sp. RNAcentral describes it as "tRNA-Ile". It matches the Rfam family "tRNA". From Rfam's summary of the family: Transfer RNA (tRNA) molecules are approximately 80 nucleotides in length. Their secondary structure includes four short double-helical elements and three loops (D, anti-codon, and T loops). Further hydrogen bonds mediate the characteristic L-shaped molecular structure. tRNAs have two regions of fundamental functional importance: the anti-codon, which is responsible for specific mRNA codon recognition, and the 3' end, to which the tRNAs corresponding amino acid is attached (by aminoacyl-tRNA synthetases). tRNAs cope with the degeneracy of the genetic code in two manners: having more than one tRNA (with a specific anti-codon) for a particular amino acid; and 'wobble' base-pairing, i.e. permitting non-standard base-pairing at the 3rd anti-codon position. Lineage: Duplodnaviria; Heunggongvirae; Uroviricota; Caudoviricetes; Herelleviridae. The record is from RNAcentral.
AGGGAUAUAGCUCAACAGGUUAGAGCCGGCGACUUAUAAUCGCCAGAUGUGAGUUCAAGUCUCAAUAUCCCUA